Molecule: long non-coding RNA, 12236 nt
Filed under: Vitis vinifera (wine grape)
Lineage: Eukaryota; Viridiplantae; Streptophyta; Magnoliopsida; Vitales; Vitaceae
Description: long non-coding RNA (VVIN_LNC001576)
Source: RNAcentral
UGGAGGCCUAAUCACCCAAAUGAAGGGUUUCCCGCUGUCUUCCAAGCCCAAAGCUAGCUCCAUCAUCUGAGAAGGACUAAUAGUGUUCUGUGAACCGAAGGAGAUGUAAAGAACUGAACUUUGUGGAUGCUUGUCCAGCCAGUCCAGGCAUUUCUCGGGAGACACUCCAGACACUUUCCAGGCUCGUUGCCCGAAGAUGCUUGAACCCGAAGAAAGUGAAUGAUUGAGCAGAGCUGGAGGGAGAAGAGGUCCUAUAGUCCAUACAGGAGGCUUUACAUAGUUUCUAAGUAUCUCCAAUCCAUGAGGCUCAAUCUCCUCAGCUGUGUUACACAACCAUCCUGAAGAGUCCAAGGAAAGCGCUAUCUGAGGCUGGAAAUACCUAGACCAAGCAUCGGUUCCAUCGGCCGCCCUCAGGUACUGAUGAAGCUGAGUGAUGUGGAAGCGGCAGGAAUCAGGAAACCCUGGCAAAGCAAAGUAAUCGGAAUCUGUAGCGCGAUGCGGGAGGUUCUGCCACAAAGAGAUGUAGGCGGCAGUGCCAUAGCCACCGCCGGUGGUGAAUGUGACGUUAGAAGUGCCUAAACUCUUGGCAACUUCAGUAGCCCAUCCAAAGAACACAUCAGAUAUUAUGCAAAGAGGAGGCCUGCCUUCUUUCUCAAUGAUCCCAGAAACGAGGCUGUGAAAAGGAGCCUGAAGAGUCUUGGAGGCGUGGAACAAAUCCACUAUCUGAUGAAACGACAAGGCCUCAGUGUUCUCAGUGUUGGGCGGGAGGCCAUGAUCAGAGCUACAGAAGGGGAGCUCGGCGAGGCGGAUACAUGGUCGGGAUGAGUCAUCAGAUGUGGAGAUGGUGGUCCUCAGGUAUUGAAUAUUGAGAGGGGUGUUGGCAAUGGUGAUGGUGAAGCCAGUUCUUUGCUGAAUUUGCUUAGCUAGAGCUAGGAAAGGUAUGAUAUGGCCCUGGGCCAUGAAAGGGAGCAUCACUAUAUGUUCCUGCUGAGAACCCAUCUUGUGAUUUCUCCUAUGGGUGUAGCUGACGGUCCUGAGACUUGGUGUUCUAUGACUCUGAAGUUUUGUACGGGUAAAGAACCUUUUUUCUGGCUCUGGUGGGUGGUGAUGAAAUAGAGACUAAAGGAUAAAUGCCGAGACAUAAAAAUACUAGAAUAUUAAGGGGCCUUCUUGAAGCAUGGAAACCUAUUCUUUUGUCGUGUGGUGGCGGGGAAUCGGUGAUAGCCGGCUUAUACAAUAUCAGAGAGUAUGUUUGGACAUGAGUGCAUUGAUAGUGAUUUCAGGAAUUCCUUCUAAUUUUUUUAAAUAUUUAAAAGUUUUCAUUAAAAGAAUUGAUUUCAAAAACACAUUUCACAGUUUUACCGUAGAUGAGGAAAGGGAAUAGAUGUCCGAUUCCUCCCUCCCCUCAUUCCCAUGUUUCGGGAUACAUUUUAGGGAGAAUUAUGUUUUGGGGGUAGAUGGGGCCCCAAAUUAAUAAAAGGUCCAUAUAACUCUUUAAAUUGAGUUGAAGGAUAUGAAAUAGUAAUGGACAAAUAUACCCUUAAAAAAUAUAUAUAAAAUAUUUUAUAAAAUUAAGUUAAAUAAAUUUUUUUUAAUAUUUUUUUUUUCAAAAAUACUAAAUUAAAUAAAAGUAGUUUUCAAAAAUAUAAAAUUAAAUAAUUUUUUUUUCAAAAAUAUUAAAUUAAAUAAAAGUAUUUAAAAAAAAAUUAAAUUAAAUAUUUUUCAAAAAUAUUAAAUUAAAUAAAAGUAUUUUUAAAAAAUUAAAUAUUUUUUAAAAAUAUUAAAUUAAAUAAAAGUAUUUUUUAAAAAUAUUAAAUUACAUAAAAGUAUUUUUAAAAAAUAAUAAAUUAAAUAAAAAAUAUUUUUUAAAUAUGUUUUUUUCUCAAAAUCAACAAAGGGCAUUUUUGAAAAUAUUGAAGGAUAAUAUCCUUCAACUCAAUUUCCAUACUUUCGUUGGGUCUUGGACUCAAUUUGAAGGGUUAUAUGGACCUUUUGUUAAUUUGGGGGUCCAUCUAGCUCCAAAACAUAAUUCUCUCUAAAUUUUAUUAAGAUAGUAAUGAAAAAAAAAAUAAUUUCAAUAAAAUUCAAAUCCCAUUUAUAAGUAAAAUUUUAAUUUAUUGUAAUUAAGUAGUAUUUUGAUUCAUUUAUCCAUGAGAAAAUAUAAAAUAGUUUGAAAUUAUUAUUUUACCCUUGAAUUUCAUUCAUCAAACUUCCACGUCUCGUCUCUUCUCCCAUAAUGAGACUAUUUUUUUAGUCUUCUUAUUAUUUAGUAACAAAAAAAAAAAACUCUUAAAAUUUAUUUUUUAAACAAUAAAAAAAAAAAUAAUUUAAACUAUGUGUAAGGAAAUUAUUAUCAAUUUUUUUCUUUUUCAUUCUCAUUCCUAUUAUUACCAAACAUUAGAAUAUAAAUAAAUAAUCAUUCUAAUAUUAAAUUAUUAGUUUUAUCCAAACACUAGAAAUAAAAUCACUAAAUUCAUUUUCAUUUACAAAGAAAAAAAUAAAAAAUAUUCGUUUCCAUUAUCUAUUCCUAUGUACCAAAAUAGUAUUUUUAUAUAGUAUUUCUAAAAAAAUUAUCUAUCAAAUGUUUUUUCUUAAAGAAGUAUUACAAAUGAUUUUUUUAUUUUUUAAAAUCAUUUUUUUUUAAUUUUAUUAACUUCUAUUUUUUUGUUUUAAAAUAUUUUUUUUUGUAUUAAAAUAUGUUUAAAAAUAUACUACCAAACCUUGUUAGGGAUGUGAAUGGGGGUUGGGAGAUUCAAGAUGUACUACACUUUUGGGACUUUAUGCUUGAAAGAAAAUAAUGUGUGGUUGCAGUUGUGGUGUUGCUGAAGCUCAUUAAUGCCUUCACGCACUUAAAAGCUAUUCUUUCGCUUAUGUCCAUAUACAACCAAUGGCGUGUUUACUUUGAAUUAAGGAAAAAGGGACUCAUUUUCUUAAUUAGUGUUUAAUUUUUUAAUUGAUUAAAAAAAGUAAAAAUAUUUGAUUUUAUUUUUUAUUAAAUUAAAAAUAAACUAUUAACAUCUACCAAUAUAACUAAUCGAACAUAUGGAUAAAAAAUUCAUUUUAAUUCUAUUGAUUAAUAUCAUUAAAUUAUUUUUAAUUAAAUAUUUCAAUUUUUUUUAUUCAAUUAAAAAACAAACACCACUUUAAUCUUAUUCUAUUCCAUCCUAUCUUUCCAAUUUUGGAAUCAAAAGAUAUGUUCCCAAAUUAGAGAGUAGAUUUUAUUUUAUUUUUUAAUUUUUUGUUUAAAGGUAAUCAUUUCGAAACGUUGGGGAAAAAGUAAUUUAAACUUACUCCACCCUGUCCACAAAUUUAACAAUAUAUAUAUUUUAAUUUUUCUUCCAUUAAUACUUUUAGGUAAAAGGUGAAGUGUACAUGCCAUAAAUGCAACAACAAUCAAUUUAAUGGUUACAAAUAUGGAACUCAAUUGGUGGGUACCAUUGAUAGAAGCCUUUUCAAUCUAUUAAAGUUUUCGACUUAUUUAAAGAUGGGUUGUUUGAUUAAAAGGCGGUAGAAACCAAUUUUGAAAAUCUAAUCUCCCAUUAUUUUUUUAUUAUAUUAUAACAAAAAUGUCCUUAUUUUUAAAAAUCUAAAAAUUGAAAGUUGUAAAAUAAUUACAAAAUUAUCUCCCCUUCUAAAAAUGAUAUUAAUUUUUUUGUUAUUUAAAUUUUAAAAAUAUAUUAUAUAUAUUUAUGAUGUCCUUUUAAUAUUAUAGUUUGGUCAUGAUUGAAGUAAAUGACUAGCUAAUAAUCUAAAACUCCAACAACUUUCUUUAAGGACAAUUUCAACCAAGGAUGAAAAUAUUGAUAAUUACAGAUAUAUCGGUCUUUUGAUUUUACGGAAAUAUUAGAGAAAUAUCGGUUAUAAGAAUGCUUGGAAAAACUCCAAAAAAUAAUAAAAUAAGCAAGAAUAUACAUUUUAAAGUUAUUUUGUAGGUGUAAUUGAUAUAAAUAUGAUCAAGAAGAAAAACAUCGGUAGACAGAGAUAUAUCGUUUCACACCGAUAUAUCGUUAAUAUUUUGGCGAUUUUCCCUAUAUUUUUAUGAUAUUCCUCCCGUUCGAUAAUCUGUGCUCAAAAUCAUUUCGAGACCGUCUGAUAUAUGAUAUAUCGGUGAUAAAAACCGAAAUUGCAAUCCAUGAUUUCAACUUCAAGGGGCAAAAUUAUUUUCUUUUUCACAAAUAUUUUGAGUGUAUUUCAUUAGUCUCAAAUCUAGAAAGGGUCAUUCAUAAACUAUUUAAAGAACCAAAAAAAAAAAAAAAAGUUCAAAAAAGGAGAUUGAAGUUAAUUUUUUUACUUAUUUUAUUUGGGAAUUCAAAAUUCAUAAAAAUUUCAAGCUCAAACUCUUGAUCUUUUAAUCAUCAUAAUUUAAUUACUAUACUCCUAACAUAAUAACAAUGUUAUCAUCAUAACGAUUCUAUUAUACAAUAGUAAUUAAAUUAUUAGAGUUUUGUGACCUGAAUUCUAUUUGAUCUAACCCAAAAAGUUCAUGAUGCGACAUAUAUAGUGAAGAAAAAUAAUGAGAUUUUUUGGGGGUCUAUAGUGGUAGCGGAAGGAUCGGGCCAAUAUAUAUAUAUGCGAUGAUGUAUAGGAUUUAUGAUUAUGAUGUUUAUGCCUAUAUAUAUACGAUGAUGUAUAGGAUUUAGGGUUAUGAUAUUUAUGCCUAUGCAAUAGUUACUCGCAUCUCUCAUCUCUUGUAUUAAUUUUUGACAUACUGAAUUUUCUUCUUCUUUGUUCGUGGUUUUUCCCAUCUAAGGUUUUCCACGUAAAAUUGUGUAUUGUUAUUAUGUUUAAUUUCUUAUUACCUAUUCUUGUUCUUUCAUAACAUAAUUCUUAUAUGAUGAUGAUGAUCGAAUUGAUCGGGUUUGGUUGGAUUUGGAUCACUAAAACCAAACCACCUGUAAUACUAAAUUAAUCAUUGGUUUGCCAUCUUCACAAACCUAAAUAAUUGGCAAUUGAUAGGAAAAAAGCAAUUGACUACCUACAACGAAUUCUCGGUAAUCUUAAUUUUUGUUGUUGAAAUAAUUCAAUGCAAUAAACCAUCCUUGGCCUACCAAAAUAUACAGUUUUUCCUUCCAAGUUCAAUAUAGCCAAGUGUUUUAAAAAAUCAGUAUUUCAGACAAAAGCAAAAAUGCUACAUCAAUCUAACAGCUCCUUCAAAAUAAUUUUCAAGAUAAAUGUCCUAGAUUUGUCCUUUGGAGAACAGAAUCAGAGCUAUUACAGUCCAGUUCAAUUCAUUCACUGAUAUUUCAAGCAGACAACAAUAUCAUUGAAUUGUUAACUAUACACAUUAUAUAUAGAAUAACAAUUCAGUUCAAUUUAUUCACAGAUAAAAAGGUUAAAUGUUUUCAUUAUGGAAGAUUAGGACACAUAGCUACAGAUUGCCCUAGUCCAAAAAAUGCUAAGAAAGCAAUGCAAGUGACUUAGAGUGAUUCUGAGUAGAGUGAAAGUGAAUCUUCAAACUCAAGAGAAGCAAGAAUGAUCAAAAUGAUGACUUUAUUGCUUUUGUUGCAUCAAUUAAUUUCGAUUUUGAUCCUAUGAUUGAUAUAAAGUCUAAUGAUGAUUCUAAAUGUUCGUUUGAUAGUAUACAUGAUGCUUAUGAAGCCCUACUUGAAUGAAGUCUAAAAUUCAAGGUUGAAAAUGUGAAAUACAAAAGAAAAAAUGAAAAAGAAAAAUAGGGCUUCAGAGAUAAAUAAUUUGAAUGAAUCCCUUAGAUUGGAAAAUUCCAACCUUCUCAAAGAAAUUACAACAUUUAUAUAUAAGAUGAAAAGAUGAAAAAAGAACUUAUAUUGUAAAAAGAAAAAGACACCCAAAUGUUGAAUUGUUGAACAAUUUGAUAAAUUCAUGUAUGUCUUUUGAUGAUAAAAGAGGUCUAUGAUGUCUUGAUCAGUCAACUAAUCAUACUAAUGCAAAGCAUAACUUUGUUAAGGCUAAAUAGGGAAUUCUUAUUGUCUAAUACCCAAUAGGUUCAUUUACACAAGCUCGUUUUGUCAUAAGAUUGGUUAUACUAAUGAUAGGUGUCAUAUUAGAAAGUUUGAAGAGUUCCAUGGGCAAAAUUAGCAAGCUUGUAGUUGAGUUUAAAGCAUCGAGAGACAAAAUCUUAUUUAAUAGAAAAAAAAGAAAAACUGUUCAAUGGGUUGCAAAAGCUCACACCAAGCUAAAUAUAGUAUGAAUAUUCAUGAUUUCCAUCUUGGUAAUCAAAUUCAUCUUUUAGGGUCCUUAAACUAGGCAAAAUUGAUUUAGGAAAGAUGACCAAGUUAAGCUUUAGAGUAAAGGCUUUGCCAUGUCAAAAGUCAUUCCCUUAGAUUCUUUUAAGACUUUGUUUCUUAGGAAAUAAUUAGGAGUUUUCUCUUCUUCAUAGCACAUUUUGUUUCAUAGUCUAAGGUCUUGUCUUAGUAUUGUAUUUUUAUUCCCAGUGUUAUGUCUAUUUUAGUCCUUAGAGUUUUUCUAGUUAUGUUUUCUUUAUAGAACUUCGUUGUUAGUAUGCUAUUCUUAACUUGAUUGAGUCUAGAUCAUGAAUUUAUGGGAAGUGUUCUUGGUUAUUUCUUGGAGCAAUGUCAUAUGCUUGAUCCAAGAUGAUUGAUUGAGGGGAAUCAUUCUUUUAGGUUCUAGGUUCAUUACAUUUCAUGCUUAUAUUUUGGUGAAAAUUGUUGAUUACUUAAUUAAUUAUUAUUUUCUUAAAUGGUUUAAGUUAUUUUUUUUUUAUUUUGUUAUUCUUUGAAAAGUUCAUCCUUAUAUCAAUUAUACUUGGGGAUCACUUUUAAUUUUUUUUUUUUAAAAAAAAAACUAAAAACGAAGUAAAUAGGGAAUUUGAUUUGGUUAUGCUAUAAGAUCUUCUAUUAAUCUUAAUGAAAAAGAGAUUUCAAAUUCAAGGAUUCAUAACAUCAUGCUUAUUUCAAUAUAACUUGCCAUAUCAUAUUUGAUAUAGUUCAAAACUUAGAUUUGAAGUGAAAAAGGUUACCUUAGUUAAAUUAAUAUUACAUAUCCAUAAACUAAGAGUGAAAGCCAUCAAGAUACUUGGGAAAACCCCUUUGUGGAAUGGCUAAAUAUUCAUCAAAGAUAAUUUUUUAUAUUUAUGAUUAAAGUUCUCUACCUUCAAAAUCAAUAAAAAUAAAAAUAAUCAAUUAAUGGGGAAUAAUUAAAUUUAUGCUUUCAAUAUCAACACAUCAUCAUGUUAAACAGAAAUCUAGUCGAACUAUUUUCAAAUUGAAUGAGUUUUUAAUUGAUUUAAAAACAAACAUGAUCUAGCUAAUUAACAAAUUGAAUUUAUAAAUUGAAUUACUUUAUUCAAACAUUAGGCAAACGACCUUGAUAUUAACUAUUUUAGUUGAUAUUAUUUUUUGUUAUAUCUUAUUGGUUGUUGAAAAGUUUUAUAGUCUAAUUUGUCAUUAAUUUGCUUUUCUAAAUAGUUUUUGCAAAGAAUUUAGAUAAUCUAAAUUCAAUUUCGUGAGUUGUACUUGGGUUAUUUGUGAUAAUUAUAAUAUGUUAAUCUUCGACAAUAUUUUGAGAGUUAUUGACAUAAGAAUUAACAUCUUUUGUGUCUAUAUGUUUUCUUUGGACUUGUAGAUGAAUUUUGCGGAAUUUUAUAUCAAGGAGGACAUUUUGGGCUAUCCAAGGACAUCUCAAGCAUUUAAAAAGCUUGAAGAAUGUGUGAAAAAGGACUAAAAGUAAGGAAGCCUUUCAAACCCUACUUAAGUUGCAUCAAACACCCACACCUUUCCUCAUCUAUAAAUGCAUAUUUUCAUUCUUUCUGCAUACAUUGGUCUUUCUUGCUUUCUUUACUCAUCUUUGUCAUUUUUAUGACAAAAUAAGGAAAAUGAUUGAUGUGUAAAAAUGAUUACGAUGGAUAUUUAUUAUUUAUUUACAUUCUUGAUGAUAUUAUGAUCAUGUUGAUUUAUUUUGAUGAUUGACAUUUGAUGUUGAUACAUGAUUAUUUAUUAUUUGGAUUAUAACAAUUACCUUUAUCACAUAGUAUAUGGUUUAUAAAGUUUUUCCACGUAGUGUUCUUUGUGGGCAUUUUUGUUUAAGAAUGUGCAUGCAAGUCGUGGGUUUUCAGGACUUUUCAAAAUUCAUUGCGUAAUAAUUGAAGAUUAUAGUUUAGGAUGUUUGGUUUAGACUUGAAAAUUAUUGAGUGACAUUUUAACUUUAUUUGAGAAUAUUGAGAGGUUUAUGUAAAUUAUUUUCUCUCAAAAUUAUUGAAGGGGAAGAUUAUUAGUGUACUAGAUCGACAAACUAUUUUAGGUUGACAAUUAAUUUUGUUCCAUACAUUCUUGGAUUCUAACCUAUAUACAUCUCAAGUUUUACAUUGGCCUUGAAGACUUGAAAUCAUAGUAUAUUCAUUAACAACAUAGAUUAUGUAAGUGUUAUUGAGUUACUAAGAUAAUGACAUAAUUAUGGCAUAUAGUGGAGUAAUGUUUAAGUUGGGCAAGAAAAUUGAAUUUGAAAAAAAAAAAAAUCUUUCUCAAUCUUUCUAAACUUCUCUAUGCUAGCAAAUCCAUUUUUGUGAAGAUUUAAUUCCAAAUUAGUAUAGAUUUGAAAAUCUUUUCAAAAUUCACCAAGUUUUGAAAUCAUUUUUAUAAAGAUUUGUUCCUAAAAUUUGCUCAAUCUAUUUGAGCUAUUAUCUUAUAAAUAUAUUUAUUGGUUGUGCUAUAUAGCAACCUUGCACCCAAGAGUUUAUUGUCAUUAUCCUUGCACAUUUUCACACGAUCAAACUCAAAUCUUAUUUGAAUUUGCUCAUGAUGGUUGAUUGUGCCCCUUCAAGUUGUUUAGACAUUCACUAAGAAGGAAGAGUUGUGUUAUGCAUGCGAGAACAAGUGUAGAUUGUGACAAUGUAAUUCUCAAGGAUAAUAAUGACUUACAGGUAAAUCUAUGUACUCAAUCUUUUUAUAUAUAUUUCAUGGAUUUAAGUUUAUGGUUUAUAUCUUCGUGGGGUCUUUGAGAAGCUUAAUGAAGGUCCAUGAUUAGAAGUUUAUGGAUUAAUUCAUUGUUAAUAUCCUAAUCAAAUAACUUAUAAAAAUUAAAAAUUUAUUUAUUUUUGGCUAAUAUAUAAUUGAGGAUUAUCACCGCCUCUGGCCAGUUCCAUGAUACUUAAUCUCAAACUUUCACAUUCAUCACAAAGCUAAUUAUAUCCUCAAAAAAUUUAUAAAGUUUGUUGGAAUUUUUAUAUAGGUGAAAGGAAAUUAGGACACAUCUUUCCCUAAUGGAUACUACAUAUUUCAAAUGAUGUCUCUAGUAUAAGUGAAUGAAAAUUAGGAUACAUAUUUUCCUAAUGGAUACUACAUAUUUCAAAGGAUGUGUCUAGUACUUUAAAAACACAUAUCUUCUAAUAAGUCACUGACAAAUCUAUAAAUAGGACUCCUAUGAAAUUUCUCAUUCAUUUUUCAUUCAAUUAUUUAUCUAUACUCUCCACUCUUUCUCCUCUUUUGUCAUUUAAAACAUUCAAGUCCUCUUUUGCUUCAAGUUUAGUAAUUUCUCAUUUCGAUCGAAUAUUUGAUAUUAAAGAGAGUACAAACUACUAAGUGAUUCAUUGUUUCUUGUGAUUUAAAGUACUACUAUCACAAAAAAGUUAUUAUUAUAUCAUGGGAGACGAUGGUUAAUAGACCAUAAGCACCUAAGUGAAACAAAUUAGUUUUAAGGACAUAGAGUCAAAAUCUAGCCUCGAUCAAUUUUAUUUGUGAGUUUCAAUUUUCUAUUUACUUUGUAUAGAUUUGAAAAUCUUUUCAAAAUUCAUCGAUUUUUCAAAUCAUUUUUAUAAAGAUUUGUUCCUAAAAUUUGCUCAAUCUAUUUGAGCUAUUAUCUUAUAAAUAUAUCUAUUGGUUGUGCUAUAUAGCAACCUUGCACCCAAGAGUUUAUUGUCAUUAUCCUUGCACAUUCCCACACAAUCAAACUCAAAUAUUAUUUGAAUUUGCUCAUGAUGGUUGAUUGUGCCCCUUCAAAUUGUUUAGACAUUCACUAAGAAGGAAGAGUUGCGUUAUGAAUGUGAGAACAAGUGUAGAUUGUGACAAUGUAAUUCUCAGGGAUAAUAAUGACUUAUAGUUAAAUCUAUGUACUCAAUCUUUAUAUAUAUAUUUCAUGGAUUUAAGUUUAUGGUUUAUAUCUUCGUGGGGUCUCUAAGAAGGUUUAUGAAGGUCCAUGAUUAGAAGUUUAUGGAUUAAUUCAUUGUUAAUAUCCUAAUCAAAUAACUUAUAAAGAUUAAAAAUUUAUUUAAUUUAUGCUAAUAUAUAAUUGAGGAUUAUCACCGCCUCUGGGCAGUUCCAUGAUACUUAAUCUCAAACUUUUACAUUCAUCAUUAAGCUAAAUAUAUCCUCAAAAAAUUUAUAAAGUUUGUUGGAAUUUUUAUAUAGGUGAAUGGAAAUUAGGACACAUUUUUCCCUAAUGGAUACUACUUAUUUCAAAUGAUGUGUCUGAUAUAGGUGAAUGGAAAUUAGGAUACAUAUUUUCCUAAUGCAUACUACAUAUUUCAAAGGAUGUGUUUAGUAUUUUAAAGGCACAUCUCUUCUAAUAAGUCACCAACAAAUCUAUAAAGAGGGAGUCCCAUGAAAUUUCUCAUUCAUUUUUUAUUUAAUUAUUUAUCUAUUCUCUCCCCUCUUUCUCCUCUUUUGUCAUUUAAAACAUUCAAGUCCUCUUUUGUUUCACGUUUAGUAAUUUCUAAUUUCUACCAAAUAUUUAAUAUUCAAGAGAGUAGAAAUUACUAAGUGAUUCAUUGUUUCUUAUGAUUUAAAGUGCUACUAUCACAAAAAAGUUAGCAUUAUAUCAUGGGAGACGAUUGUUAAUAAACCAUAAGCACCUAAGUGAGACAAAUUCAUUUUUAGGACAUAGAGUCAAAAUCUAACCUCAAUGAAUCUCAUUUGUCAGUUUCAAUUUUCUAUUUGCUUUAUGUUAUUUAUAUAUUUAUUGUCUACACUUAUUAUCCAUAUAUUUUUCGGUGAUUUGGAUAACAAAGUUAAGGUCUCUCUCAAGGGAAUAAACCUUUACAUUUAAUAUAUGAUUGAGAAUUGUAAAAAACGCCUAUUGCUCUAAAUACACUAGAGCUUGAGGAAUAUAUGUCACCAUUUUGGACCCUCAAAGGAUUCACUUUGAGCCCCAUCUUUCGAGAUGCUCUCAUAAUCUCUAAAAUAUCGCCCAACCGAACCAAGAAGAAAUGAACAUAAAUAAAAAGAUAAAGAGGAUUCUAGUUUGUAAAAUGAAAGAUGACCAUCUUUCUAUGGAAUAUUUUAGCCAAAAAGAAAGAAAGAAAGAAACUCUGUUUCUCUUAUUCUAAAAUAAGUAAGUUUAUUCAUAGUUAUUCAACCAAGAAGAUCCUCAGUAGCCUUGUCUCUUGGAAAGCAUUGUGGAGACAAAAUCAUCCAUUGCUUUCAGAGAAGACCCUUCCUCUCUCAUUGCAUCUCUUAUCUUCUCUCCAAUCUCUGCUGCUUUCUUCUUCAUCUCCUCUGCUUUCCCUUUACUGUCCAUAACCAACUCUAUUACUCUCUUCACCUCCUUCCUCACCACUGCACCCUGCAGUCCUCUUGUCAACUCCACAGCCACUCCCAUGUCCUCCACCAGCAUUUUGGAGUUAUAGCAUUGCUCUGCAGCCAACGGCCACGCUAUUAUUGGAACUCCCACACAGAGGCUUUCCAUCACUGAGUUCCAUCCGCAGUGGCUGAGGAAGACCCCAGUUGAUUUGUGUGAUAGGAUCUCCAAUUGGGGUGCCCAGUUGUGGACAAUCAGGCCUUGGUUUCUAUCAGCCAUUCGCUGUUCGAACUUUUCUGGUAACCAUUCUGCUCGAAACUCACCUUUUAUGUCGAAACCAACUGGAGGCCUAAUCACCCAGAUGAAGGGUUUCCCGCUGUCCUCCAAGCCCAUGGCUAGCUCCAUCAUCUGAGACGGACUAAUAGUGUUCUGUGAACCGAAGGAGAUGUAAAGAACUGAACUUUGUGGAUGUUUGUCCAGCCAUUCCAGGCAUUUCUCAGGAGACACUCCAGGCACUUUCCAGGCUCGUUGCCCGAAGAUGCUACCCGAGGAAGGUGAAUGAUUGAGCAGAGCUGGAGGGAGAAGAGGUCCUAUGGUCCACACAGGAAGCUUUACAUAGUUUCUAAAUAUCUCCAGGCCUUGAGGCUCAAUCUCCUCAGCUGUGUUACACAACCACCCUGAAGACUUUAAAGAAUUUGCUAGCAUAGGCUGGAAAUACCUAGACCAAACAUCGGUUCCGUCAGCCACUCUCAGGUACUGAUGAAGCUGAGUGAUGUGGAAGCGGCAGGAAU